Molecule: long non-coding RNA, 1113 nt
Organism: Maniola jurtina (meadow brown)
Lineage: Eukaryota; Metazoa; Arthropoda; Insecta; Lepidoptera; Nymphalidae
Exons: 4
Source: RefSeq, a predicted model, not a curated record
CCAAGUCUACUAUUGCAAUUGUGUUUCAGUUGUCUAUCAAUGACAUCUUAAUUGUUACUUUUAGCAAUUUUGGUAGUCUACUAAUUCAAUGGCGUCACAAUUGCUUUCCGAUGGCGUGCCACUGACACUUCAAUGACGCAAUUGUAAAUAGUUGGUAGUCCCGUACUUAAUGACAAGCCAAUGAUCGAAUGUAUGCGUAGUCUGCUAAUAGUUUGACAGCUGCAAUGAUCAUUGAAUCGCCAGUGAACUAUCAUUGAUGGGCCAUUGUGCUGUCAUUGCUUUUAAGCCAGUGUUUGUUUGGUUUUACGGGUUUAACAUCAUGUUUAGCAAUAGUUUGGGUAUUUAGUUGUUAUCUUUCUACGUUGUAAGGUGAACACCUAGGCAUAAUGUCUAGAAUAAGAUGGAAUAUUUUGGAAUUGGCCAACGCGGUUGAUACUCAGGAGUUGAUAUUGAUACUCGCUUGCUAAGGAGCAAUAUAGACCCCUUUCAGGAUAUAUCCUUUGUAAAAAUGUUUCGCCUUGGGAAGGAAACUGUAAAGGAGCUAGUGGAGCAGCUCACUCCACUUAUUCCGAGACCACAACGGAAUGAUGGAAUAUUUGCGGAGACGAAGAUUCUGAUAGCCUUAGCAUUUUAUACACCAUCUCAUACCAGACAUUAGUUGGGCAGAGUGCCCUCCACAGAAGACUGUGUCAAGAGCUGUGAGGCAAGUUACAGAGACACUCAAUGCCAAAUUUAACAAAUAUGUUAAAUGGCCCAUCCAGCAUGACCGGAAUGCCAUGAAAGCUAAAUGUUUGCUCCGAGCACAUGCUUUGCAUUACAGUCCAAUCACCACAGGCAAGAUUGUGAAUGCAUGUUAUAUUUUGCACAGUAUUGCAAACAAGACCAACGCCCGUGCCUCCACUCAUGCCUGUGGAAGCUCUUCAUCUGCAACAGGAUGAACACAAUUCAAGGGCCGAGAGUUGGAAAGUGCUAUUGAUGGACAGCAUUCACAAAGCCAUCGAGUUAACCAAGGUCUGCUUGAAGGUAGAGUGCUGCAGCAGGCUCUCAUCAACAGGCUGUGGAGAAAUGCAUGAAAUUAAUAAUAAAUAAUUGAAAUAAAUGAUUUUGAAUUUU